Arabidopsis thaliana (thale cress) is the source of this 262-nucleotide long non-coding RNA. RefSeq annotates it as other RNA. The transcript has a single exon. Lineage: Eukaryota; Viridiplantae; Streptophyta; Magnoliopsida; Brassicales; Brassicaceae. The record is from RefSeq.
AUAAGUAGAUAUUUAUCUCUAUCUGUACACAUUAAUUAUGUGGUUUGAACAAUAUCUUAAUUUAUUAUCAUAAUAAUAUUUAUAACUUGAAACCAUGUUUUCAUAGCAUAAUUUUCGUUUGCUUUAAACCAAAUUAUCCGAAUUAACAUGAUCUGAAAUGUGUAGGUUUACCAAACAUUUACUUAAACUUUCCCAAUGAAAAAGCUUCAUACAAGAAAACUAUAUCAAAAAUGACUCUGAGAGUGAGCCAAAGGGUAAAGAG